GGGACGGAACGUUUUCAAGAUUCGUUUUUCAAACCACGUCUACUCUGUGUGCAGUUGGUGAUGGAGUACUGCCUCGGAUCCGCCUCCGACCUCCUUGAAGUUCACAAAAAGCCUCUGCAGGAGGUGGAGAUUGCUGCUAUUACUCACGGAGCGCUGCAGGGGCUGGCCUACCUUCACUCUCACAACAUGAUCCACAGG
Molecule: long non-coding RNA, 198 nt
Organism: Hippocampus comes (tiger tail seahorse)
Lineage: Eukaryota; Metazoa; Chordata; Actinopteri; Syngnathiformes; Syngnathidae
Exons: 2
Source: RefSeq, a predicted model, not a curated record